UCGGUGAACAGCCGUCUCGCCCGCUGCGUUUUGUACGCAUCUACAGUUCAGCAAUUGUUUACUUGUAUUGUUUUAGUCCAAAAUGAAGAGUAAUUCUUUAAUGGAAUAAUAUGAUUAGAUAUCCAUUUGUAGGUCGUUCGAGUCUACGCCUCGGUUGGACCGGAAAAUACAAGGAAAUUCAUCAUCCGUUUUUCAAGGCACUACUAGAAUGCCGUUCGAAUAAUUCAUUUUUAAGGCCUAUUUCGUUGCACGGCGAUGAUUACUUUUGUAAUUUACUGUUACAUAAUUUUCUACCUGUAAAUUGCAAAUGAAAUAGUUAAUUAAAUUGUUAAGGAUUUCUUUAUUGCAUUGCGUCGUUCGCAGCGACCAAGGCU
Melitaea cinxia (Glanville fritillary) is the source of this 374-nucleotide long non-coding RNA. RefSeq lists it as uncharacterized. NCBI's taxonomy places the organism in Eukaryota, Metazoa, Arthropoda, Insecta, Lepidoptera, Nymphalidae. The transcript has 2 exons. The record is from RefSeq and is a predicted model, not a curated record.